Molecule: ribosomal RNA, 395 nt
Filed under: uncultured bacterium
Lineage: Bacteria
Description: partial 16S ribosomal RNA
Rfam family: Bacterial small subunit ribosomal RNA
Source: RNAcentral
CCUACGGGAGGCAGCAGUGAGGAAUAUUGGUCAAUGGUCGGGAGACUGAACCAGCCAAGCCGCGUGAGGGAGGAAGGUACAUAGUAUUGUAAACUUCUUUUGUCAGGGAACAAAGACUGGGACGCGUCCCCGGAUGAGUGUACCCGAAGAAAAAGCAUCGGCUAACUCCGUGCCAGCAGCCGCGGUAAUACGGAGGAUGCGAGCGUUAUCCGGAGUUAUUGGGUUUAAAGGGUGCGCAGGCGGUAAGGUAAGUCAGCGGUGAAAUGUUUGCGCGCAACGGGUUGGGGUGCCGUUGAUACGGGCUUGCUAGAUUGCGAGAGAAGUGGGAGGAAUGUGUGGUGUAGCGGUGAAAUGCAUAGAUAUCACGAAGAACACCGAUUGCGAAGGCAUCUCAC